This 325-nucleotide ribosomal RNA is filed under the name uncultured Acidobacteriota bacterium. RNAcentral's name for it is "bacterial SSU rRNA". It matches the Rfam family "Bacterial small subunit ribosomal RNA", at positions 29 to 351 of the family's 1533-position model. The record is from RNAcentral. Lineage: Bacteria; Pseudomonadati; Acidobacteriota.
AAUGAACGCUGGCGGCGUGCCUAACACAUGCAAGUCGGAUGUGCCCAGCAAUGGGUGCAUGGCAGACGGGUGAGUAACGCGUGGGGAACCUACCUCUUUGUGGGGAAUAACGUUCCGAAAGGAAUGGUAAUACCGCAUGAGACCAUAGGCUGGGAUGCUUAUGGUGAAACCCGGGACCGCAAGGCCUGGGGCAAGGAGAGGGUCCUGCGUCUGAUUAGCUAGUUGGUGGGGUAAUGGCCUACCAAGGCAUCGAUCAGUAGCCGGCCUGAGAGGGUGAUCGGCCACAUUGGGACUGAGACACGGCCCAGACUCCUACGGGUGGCUG